This is an RNA transcript of Brachypodium distachyon (stiff brome), 1743 nucleotides long. RefSeq lists it as uncharacterized. The record is from RefSeq and is a predicted model, not a curated record. NCBI's taxonomy places the organism in Eukaryota, Viridiplantae, Streptophyta, Magnoliopsida, Poales, Poaceae. The transcript is spliced from 4 exons.
CACAUGUUUACGCAACUUCUUCUGUCAUUCUGUUUUUUUUUUCUUCUGGAAGCAACUGCUUUAGGCGGCCGAGGAGAAGGAGGAAGACGAGCCAGCCGUGGGCAGCAAGGGGCAGGUUCCAGCAGCCUUCGUGCGCGCCACCUGUUCGACCGAACGCCUCCGAGCCCUGCCGGCUGCCGCGCCACAAUGGCGGAGGAGCAGCCUGCGCGCCCCGUCGUCGGGAUCAACGACCUCCCCUUGGACGUCCUCCGCAGCGUCUUGUCCCUCCUGAGCGCGCGCGACGUCGUGCGCACCUGCGUGCAGUCGCGGCUCUGGCGCGACCUCUGGAAGUCCGUUCCCGUCAUCAACGCCCUCGUCUUCGACUUCGACGGCCGAGGUCGAAGUUACCAGCAGGCCGAGGUGCUGUUCAAGAGGUUCAUGAACCAUUUCCUGGAGGCCCGUGGACCCGUCCCUCUCCAAGACUUCCGCCUCUGGUACAGAGAGUCCGAGGAAGACGAAGAAGCCCAAUCCGGAGACGCAACGCAUGGAUCAGCUAUGCGUCACGGCAAGAUGCUUCGCACAUCGUGGGUAUCAAUCGUCUCUUGCCGUACUACCUCGCUCCCGAUGUGUUCACUUCAAAACACCUGAAAGUCCUGCAGCUCAGCAGGGCUGUUUUGGUCCAAGGCUUCUUUAGGCAGCUGAGUAAUUAUUGCCCUGAAUUGAAGGCCCUGUUCCUAUCGGAGUGCCGGAUUUUGGACACUAAUAUUUACUCCGAGACGAUCGUGGUUUUGUCCCUCACGAUCAACCUCCUUGGUGACCAGCCUGGUAUUUGUAUUCCAAGCCUCAUUUCUCUGAUCCUCCAUUCUCGUUAUGGGCCCGGGCUACCUUUAUUGAAAUCUAUGGAAUCGCUGGAGGAGGCAUGGAUAUUAAUCUCGCGACAAAACCAAGAUAUUGAUGCUCCUGCUAUCAGACAGUUCCUCAACAGCCUUUCUCGUGUUAGAAGAUUGGAAUUCGAUUAUCAACACAGAAGGCUCACAAUGGAAAAUAAUUACCAUGGUGUCCAACAUUCAGCAAUCUUACAGAUCUGACUCUUCAUGACUGGUGUGUGCAUGAGGACUUCUAUGGAUUGAUAGUCUUCCUUCAGAAGUCACCAAAUCUGAAGAAGCUAACUCUGAUACUAAAACCACCGACGGAGCAAUCUGGGGUGGUACCUUCAAUUAUCGGACAACUGGAAGAAAGAUCGUUUAGAUGUAACCAGCUUGAGGGUGUGGAAAUCGUAUGCUUGAAGAACCAGUGCUCCAUGCUCCCCAAGGUGCGACAGUUCUUGCUUGAUGGAGGCAUAACCACUGAUAAGAUUCAUAUUGCAGUUAGCACCGGGUAAGGCCAAGGCGUGUGAACUUUCUCAGGUUCAAGUAGAGUCGAAAUGUCAGAUGAUCGGCCAUUCGCUCACCAUUGCAGAAUAUGACUGUCCUGUUGGAUUUACUCCCGUUCGUUCCCCUUCAAGUUGGAAGGAGCAUGGCAUUCUUGUUUCUUGUUUUGCUAUUUGUCAUGCUUAGAAAUUAGAAUCACAGUGCAAUGGUGAAUUUGACAGAAUAUUGUCGCUGAACGCGAGCCGAAACAAGAAGGUCGUUUAAACGUGGCUUUGUUGAUACCGUAUCUUAAGAAUCCUAUACGUGGAGGAGUCCUUCUUACCUGAUGUAUGGUGCAAUAUAUAGCUCACUGUGGUUUUGCUCUUUCAACUGAUGCGUGCUGUCAUUUUUUUGA